AGAGUUUGAUUAUGGCUCAGGAUGAACGCUAGCUACAGGCUUAACACAUGCAAGUCGAGGGGAAACGAUAUAGAAAGCUUGCUUUCUUAGGCGUCGACCGGCGAAUGGGUGAGUAACGCGUAUCCAACCUGCCCCUGAGUAAGGGAUAGCCCAUCGAAAGAUGGAUUAAUACCUUAUGGUCUCCUUUGCAGACAUCUAAUUAGGAGUAAAGAUUUAUCGCUGAGGGAUGGGGAUGCGUCUGAUUAGCUUGUUGGCGGGGUAACGGCCCACCAAGGCAACGAUCAGUAGGGGUUCUGAGAGGAAGGUCCCCCACAUUGGUACUGAGACACGGACCAAACUCCUACGGGAGGCAGCAGUGAGGAAUAUUGGUCAAUGGACGGAAGUCUGAACCAGCCAAGUAGCCGUGCAGGAUGACUGCCCUAUGGGUUGUAAACUGCUUUUAUACGGGGAUAAAGUCAGGGUCGUGACCCUGUUUGCAGGUACCGUAUGAAUAAGGACCGGCUAAUUCCGUGCCAGCCGCCGC
RNAcentral lists this ribosomal RNA (523 nucleotides) under uncultured bacterium. Its description in RNAcentral is "bacterial SSU rRNA". It matches the Rfam family "Bacterial small subunit ribosomal RNA", at positions 8 to 518 of the family's 1533-position model. The record is from RNAcentral.